RNAcentral lists this long non-coding RNA (3900 nucleotides) under Mus musculus (house mouse). Its description in RNAcentral is "long non-coding RNA chr12:110562158-110566058". The record is from RNAcentral. Lineage: Eukaryota; Metazoa; Chordata; Mammalia; Rodentia; Muridae.
AGCUACAGUGUAACUAGUUAUAAUAAUAAAUAACUCUUUUAAAAAAAAAAAGUUACUAUUUCUCCCUGGCAGUAGAGGGCAAUAUGCCUUUAAUUCCAGCAUUUAGAAUAUUUCUGAAUAUUUUUUUUAAUUUUUAUUUUUUUUACUACUAAAAUCCAGUUUGGAAAGCUAGUGUCCAUUACCCACUUUCUACUCUCAAGUUCUCUGAGCUGCCUUGGCUGUGUCUCCUUCCAGGGACACCUUCUGCUGUGUCCAGCUGAUGUGAUGGUCAGCAGAACUUUGUGGCCCUGGAAGCGAUGACUGCUUAGCCACCAUGAAACUAGCUGAGCAACCCAGGACUGCGUGAAGAGACCAGCAGUCCCGAGAGACUGCUCUCAGUGUCGAGGCCCUCCCAUGCAAAGCCUUUCCAGAGUUAUGAAGGAAGCCAUGGGACCAGCAGCAGACCUAAAACAAGGAAGCCUGACAGCUCUGCUGGGGACAAGGCUGGGUUUGCUUCUGCUGAGAAGGAACCCCUGGACAGGCUUCCCACUGCAUUCAUUAUAGCCCUGGGAAGCCUGAGCUGUUGUUAUUUUAAACAUCCAUGGGCAAUUUACUAGAACCGGAAGAUUGUGUUUCCAAAACAUAGGGAGUGAGCAGUUUUCACCAAGGAGCAUCGUUUAAAACUCUGUGUAUCCCCUCAUCCCCACUCUGGGUACCAGCCAGGACGCAGGUGUGAGAGCCCCUGGAAGAGAGAGAGAGAGACCCCAAGAGUAUGUGAGAACCUGACCCUCCCCAGAGAUAGAAAAGAAUGCCUACAGACAUGGAAACCUAUUUUAUCUAAGGGUGGGGUGGGGUGAGAGUUUAAUUAGAAUUUCUCUGCAUGGGAGAUUAAUACUUCUCUCAGAAACCAUUAACUAUCGAACAAAAACUAGUCAAAACCAAGCAUGAGACACCUUCCUUCAAGUUAUUGGGGGGGGGGGAGCCCUCCCAUGUUGGUUUGAACAAGAGUGGAUUUCCAACACCUCGCCUGCCUGCCUGCCUGCCUGCUGCCUGCUGCCUGCUGCCUGCUGCCUGCCGCCGUGCUCCCUGCCUUAAUCACCAUGCACUCUAACUUUCAGUUGCUUCACUGUGUAAGCUGCCUUGGAUGUGGUGUCUCUUCACAGCAACAGACGACUUAGUUGCCGACUGGAAUGUGGGGCUAAGACCCUUUUGCUGGUGACACCAUGCACUCUGGUCACAGGACUUAGAGAAAUCAAGCUGGUACUGGCUGGAAGCUUCUUGAUUGCCAGUUUCCAUAGUGUUGCAAGGUGCUAGGGAGGCUCCAGUAACUACUCCCCAGGGAGGUACACCCAGUGGAACCGUACAGUAAGGGCGUGAACGUCUGGAGGGAUAACCUACAGCUAUCUAACUGGAUUGAAAGCCUGCCUGAUAAGAAGGAUCUCACGGUAACCCUGUGCGGGAACCAGCGGCCCAGCGUUCAUAGGCCCUGGGGAGAACCUACUGCCAUCAGUUUGCUAAACGGAUUAACGGAUUAACGGGCUUCCAAACGCUGACUCUGCACCCUUAGCUUAGUGCUGCUCACACCCCUAUCAGAGAGCCUGCUUUGUAGAGUGGACAGAGGCUAACACAAAACCAUAGAUGACCCAAGUGCAGAGUAAGUGACUAGAGUGUUGGCCUUCACAUCCCUGCCCUACUGUCUUCCUCCAAGGCUCAGGGAAGCCCCAGAAGAGACAGGGUUGUAGGAGCCAGAAGUCGGGGGGGGGGGGGGGGGCGGGGGCAGCUGUGGAGCUGUGUAUUCUGGACACAACAGUUGUGGCUGCUACACAAGACCAUUCUAGCCAGUGUUCCAGGAUGGGUGCAUGGCUCACAAAGGCCUACUUCUAGGUGAAAAGUUCGACACUCAACAGUUGCUGGAAGAAGCCUUUGGUUGGGUUUUUUGGGUUGUUUUUUUUUUUUUUUUUUUAAGAUUGAUUUAUUAUUAUAUCUAAGUACACUGUAGCUCUCUUCAGAUGCACCAGAAGAGGGCGUCAGAUCUCAUUAAGGAUGGUUGUGGUUGCUGAGAUUUGAACUCGGGACCUUCGGAAGAACAGUCGGUGCUUUUAACCACUGAGCCGUCUCUCCAGCCCCGGUUUGGGUUUUUUGAGAUGGGGUUUCUCUGUGUGGUCUUGACUGUCCUGGAACUUGCUUUGUAGCCCAAACUGACCUCGUGUCAUGAUCCUCCUGCCUCAGAUUCAGAGUGCUAAGAUUACUGGUGUGUGCUACUAUGUGUCAAAUUUGAUAAAAUUUCAUGUGGAAGAACAAGCCCAGGUAGGAAGGACGCCUGCAAGGCAUUGACCGUGUUUUCCGGGGAAGCAAAGGCGAGUGAGCCAGGCCUGCUCUCCCCGCCUGUGCACACUGUGCCUUUCCCCAUGAGCCAAGGGUAGAGUGUACAGGGACAGCCAAGGUCUCCCCAGAGAAGCAGAGGCACCUCUGACAGGGAUUGUGACUAAAGGAUUCUAAACCUUGGAAACCAGCCCAGCACAGGUCAUCCACCGCCGAGACUCUUCACUCUUUCCUGUAGGGGCCUCCCCGAUAAGUCCAGUCCCCAUUGACUCGGAUCAGUUCUAAAACCUUCCAGAAAUAUGUGGCCAGCUCUUUCUUAAUAUUUAGAUGUUUUCCCUGUGCCUUUUCUGUUUUAAAUUUUCUCACUCCCUGGCCAUCUUGGUCGCUUCUCUUCUGGAAGUUGUCCUGCGCCUAAGGCAAGGCCAUGGUGGCUGCGGAGGAGACAGCAUCUGAGGUGUCAGUCACCUCUCAACUCCAAGUUGUUGUGAAAGUGCAAAGGGCCCAGCCUAGUGGAUCAGCAGAUAGGCACCUGCUGCCAAUCCUGACAGUCCACACACGCAUGAAACAAACUAUGUAUGUUUUAGAAAGAUAAGUCAAAAGUGUACAUGGGUACUACGUGUGCUGGUGCAAGCUGACUCUGAAGGCGAGCAGACAGGACAGAGUGAAGUUGUUUAUCCUCACGAGGGGCCCAACGCUGAAGAGAUCUGAAUGGAAUACCAUGCUACAUUGGUCAGAACCAGCGCCUGCCAGUACGGCGGCAGGCAGCACGGCUGAACUGGGGCAAGCAUGCAGGAGUGCUGAGUGCUCAGGUUGUCGCCGAGCGUGACAUUAAUCAGCUGAGAGAACAGUUAAUCCCAGAACUGAGGCAGAAGGAUCACAAACUCUAGGCCAGGCUGGCUACUGUUCUCAAGAAAAACAAAACUGUGUUAAAAACUAAAACACUUUGUAAUUUGAGCCUUCAGUUCAAGCACCCUGUCUCCUGUUUUCUUACCAGGGUUGAAACAACCCUCGUAAUAUCCAAAAAUAUUUAUGGAUACCUAAAUGUUCUCUCUGGACUCUGAGUUCAAGGUCUGCCUGGGCGACGUUUUGAGUUCCAGGCCAGCUAUGGCAGCACAGUAAGACCCUGGCUCAAAACAGAAAGGAGUGAAAAAAGACGACAUGACGUUUGCCGAGCAAGCCUGGGUGGCCUGACCUCGGGAUGCAGAACCCGCGUGAGGUUGGGAGGAGAGAACCGAAUCAGUUGACCUUUAACCUCUAUGCACAUCAUAGCACAUGCUCACAUCCGUGUACACAGGAUAAAUUAAAAUUCAGGGCCAGCACAGUGGCUCAGCGGGUGAAGGCACUCGCCACCAAACCUGACAGUGAGUUGGAUCCCUAGGACCCAUAGCGAAAGGAGAGAGCCAGCUCUCAUGCUGCCCUCGCUCGGGGCUGCGAGGGUUUGCCCCACCACAGCAUAGACACAGAAUAAAGAGAUCUCCUAAAAAAUUACAGGUAAGGAAUUGGCCAGGCAUAAUUGCACAUGCCUGUAGCUCCCAUACUUCGGGGGCAGAGACAGGAAGAUUAUCAAUUGUACAUUGACUUAAACUACAUAGGUUUUUU